UCGCAGUCGGUGCCGCAGUUUAUGCGGGCAAAAGGGAAACAGGUGAAACGCCUGUGCGAUCUCGUCACCGUAUGCGGAUCGGCGUCGCCACGCAGAUGCUGCCACUGAGCAAUCGGGAAGGCGGCGGCGCCAUAUGCCGCAAGCCGGGAAACCUGCCGAAUGC
This 163-nucleotide non-coding RNA is filed under the name bovine gut metagenome. The record is from RNAcentral.